UACGGAGGGUGCAAGCGUUGUCCGGAUUUACUGGGUUUAAAGGGUGCGUAGGCGGAUGGUUAAGUCAGUGGUGAAAGCCUGCGGCUUAACCGCAGAAGUGCCAUUGAUACUGGCCAUCUUGAGUGCAGUGGAGGUAGGCGGAAUUUAUGGUGUAGCGGUGAAAUGCAUAGAUACCAUAAAGAACACCCAUCGCGAAGGCAGCUUACUACGCUGUAACUGACGCUGAGGCACGAAAGCGUGGGGAUCAAACAGG
This 253-nucleotide ribosomal RNA is filed under the name uncultured bacterium. Its description in RNAcentral is "partial 16S ribosomal RNA". It matches the Rfam family "Bacterial small subunit ribosomal RNA", at positions 524 to 776 of the family's 1533-position model. The record is from RNAcentral.